CCUACGGGCGGCUGCAGUGAGGAAUAUUGGUCAAUGGGCGCUAGCCUGAACCAGCCAAGUAGCGUGAAGGAUGACUGCCCUAUGGGUUGUAAACUUCUUUUAUAUGGGAAUAAAGUGCAGUAUGUAUACUGCUUUGCAUGUACCUUAUGAAUAAGGAUCGGCUAACUCCGUGCCAGCAGCCGCGGUAAGACGGAGGAUCCGAGCGUUAUCCGGAUUUAUUGGGUUUAAAGGGAGCGUUGGCGGGUUGUUAAGUCAGUUGUGAAAGUUUGCGGCUCAACCGUAAAAUUGCAGUUGAAACUGGCAGCCUUGAGUACAGUAGAGGUAUGCGGAAUUCGUGGUGUAGCGGUGAAAUGCUUAGAUAUCACGAAGAACUCCGAUUGCGAAGGCAGCCUGCUGGACUGUAACUGACGCUGAUGCUCGAAAGUGUGGGUAUCAAACAGGAUUAGAUACCCCUGUAGUC
RNAcentral lists this ribosomal RNA (460 nucleotides) under uncultured bacterium. RNAcentral describes it as "partial 16S ribosomal RNA". It matches the Rfam family "Bacterial small subunit ribosomal RNA", at positions 338 to 795 of the family's 1533-position model. The record is from RNAcentral.